This 768-nucleotide ribosomal RNA is filed under the name uncultured bacterium. Its description in RNAcentral is "bacterial SSU rRNA". It matches the Rfam family "Bacterial small subunit ribosomal RNA", at positions 28 to 776 of the family's 1533-position model. The record is from RNAcentral.
AUUGAACGCUGGCGGCAGGCCUAACACAUGCAAGUCGAGCGGCAGCGACUUAACUGAACCUUCGGGGAACGUUAAGGGCGGCGAGCGGCGGACGGGUGAGUAAUGCCUGGGAAUAUGCCCUGAUGUGGGGGAUAACUAUUGGAAACGAUAGCUAAUACCGCAUAAUCUCUUCGGAGCAAAGAGGGGGACCUUCGGGCCUCUCGCGUCAGGAUUAGCCCAGGUGGGAUUAGCUUGUUGGUGAGGUAAUGGCUCACCAAGGCGACGAUCCCUAGCUGGUCUGAGAGGAUGAUCAGCCACACUGGAACUGAGACACGGUCCAGACUCCUACGGGAGGCAGCAGUGGGGAAUAUUGCACAAUGGGGGAAACCCUGAUGCAGCCAUGCCGCGUGUGUGAAGAAGGCCUUCGGGUUGUAAAGCACUUUCAGUAGGGAGGAAGGUAGUGUAGUUAACACCUGCACUAUUUGACGUUACCUACAGAAGAAGCACCGGCUAACUCCGUGCCAGCAGCCGCGGUAAUACGGAGGGUGCGAGCGUUAAUCGGAAUUACUGGGCGUAAAGCGCAUGCAGGCGGCCUGUUAAGUCAGAUGUGAAAGCCCGGGGCUUAACCUCGGAAUUGCAUUUGAAACUGGCAGGCUAGAGUCUUGUAGAGGGGGGUAGAAUUUCAGGUGUAGCGGUGAAAUGCGUAGAGAUCUGAAGGAAUACCAGUGGCGAAGCGGCCCCCUGGACAAAGACUGACGCUCAGAUGCGAAAGCGUGGGGAGCAAACAGG